This 77-nucleotide transfer RNA is filed under the name Oscillospiraceae bacterium. Its description in RNAcentral is "tRNA-Met". It matches the Rfam family "tRNA". From Rfam's summary of the family: Transfer RNA (tRNA) molecules are approximately 80 nucleotides in length. Their secondary structure includes four short double-helical elements and three loops (D, anti-codon, and T loops). RNAcentral also lists the same sequence under 1 other name. Lineage: Bacteria; Bacillati; Bacillota; Clostridia; Eubacteriales; Oscillospiraceae. The record is from RNAcentral.
GGCGGUAUAGCUCAGGUGGCUAGAGCAUUCGGUUCAUACCCGAAGUGUCACUGGUUCAAAUCCAGUUACCGCUACCA